RNAcentral lists this non-coding RNA (77 nucleotides) under unclassified sequences. Its description in RNAcentral is "CyVA-1 RNA". It matches the Rfam family "CyVA-1 RNA". From Rfam's summary of the family: Cyanobacteria, Acidobacteria (1 example), Verrucomicrobia (1 example). Big IGRs The record is from Rfam by way of RNAcentral.
GUGGUGGCGGCGGGUUUUUACCGUUUCCUCCGCCUUGAGCCGGCCGAAGCAGAACGGUGUCAGGUCGGCUACACCAC